UCAUCAACAAAAACCAAACAUAACUAUUGAAUGCCGCUCCCAUUCAUUUCAAAAUUACGCAUGCCUUUCAGCUUUUUUAUCAUUUUUACAGGAAAACGUGUUGUCGAUCAAAUUGCUUCCACAAGAAUCAUAACUGCAUGGGAUGCAACUCGGCUGGGCCGGCUUAUUCAAAAGACACAACCUCCACACAGAUUUCACUGACGAAAUAAUUUAUUGGACUGUUCCAUUUUUAGUUAGUACAGGGUUGAAAAAAAACUAAAUUAUAAUUUCGUUUUUAUUAGAGGUUAACACGUGGAUAAAUAUUCAUACUGCCCAUCGUAACAACCCUACAGUCAUAAAAGCCUGAAAUGUGAAAGUUCUUUAACCGACGAGGGUAAAAAAGAAUGGUCAUGUUCAAAAGUAUAGGUUCCGACAUCAAGACCAAGCAAGCCAGGCAGGAUUCAUCAUCCACUGCAAGGAUGCCUGGAGAACGAUUACGGCAAAUUUCUCCGAUGGAGGCAAAACACACUAUCGUUAAUCAUAAUAAACACUUAUCUAUCAAAUCUACAUUAAAACUGAUAUUCAAAUCUGAAAGAACUUUGUUUUCACCCAGCAAAAAAGAGAUACAAAAUUAUACGACAAAAUAAAAGUAACAGGUAAUGCAUGCGGUAACGAGUUUUAAGACUUAUCCACAGAAUGCUAUCAAAUAUUUAAAAUAUCGACAGAUUAUUCAGAAACGAAGGCGAUGUUGGAACCUUCAGAAACACAGCUUCUAUGUGUAACAGAAGACCGCAUGUCAAAUGAAGUAAAUAAUGGUCCUUAAUCAAGACUACUAAAUCUAAAAGUAAAGGUCAUGAGAACAUUCUGUUACACUUGUUAUGCUCCCCCAAAAUUUAUUUUUGGGGGAGCAUAUAGUCGCCGCUUCGUCUGUCCGUGCGUGUGUGCGUGCGUCUGUCUGUCCGUCCGUGCACAAUUUUUGUCCGGGCUAUUUCUCAGCAACUAAUGACCGGAAUUCAAUGAAGCUUUAUGGGAAGCUUCACUACCAAAAGGAGAUGUGCAUAUUAUCAGCGGGUUCUUGUCGGAUGAUUUUUCACAGAGUUAUGGCCCUUUGAAAUUUUCAAUAACAAAAGUAUUGUCCCACCAACUACUGUGCCCUCAAGACGUUUCCUUUUAUCUGAAUAUAUAGUGCAAUAUUGUGAAAAAAAAACGUUGGGGAGCAUCACCCGUCUCCGAUGGUUUCUUGUUUAACUUGUUGAAAUCGUUAAUAUAUACAUGUUUAUAAAUAAAUCAUCUUGCUAUCA
Long non-coding RNA from Dreissena polymorpha, 1280 nucleotides. RefSeq lists it as uncharacterized. Lineage: Eukaryota; Metazoa; Mollusca; Bivalvia; Myida; Dreissenidae. The record is from RefSeq and is a predicted model, not a curated record. The transcript is spliced from 3 exons.